Molecule: ribosomal RNA, 489 nt
Filed under: uncultured soil bacterium
Lineage: Bacteria
Description: bacterial SSU rRNA
Rfam family: Bacterial small subunit ribosomal RNA
Source: RNAcentral
AGGACGAACGCUGGCGGCGUGCUUAACACAUGCAAGUCGAGCGGUAAGGCCUUUCGGGGUACACGAGCGGCGAACGGGUGAGUAACACGUGGGUGAUCUGCCCUGCACUUCGGGAUAAGCCUGGGAAACUGGGUCUAAUACCGGAUAUGACCUCAGGUUGCAUGACUUGGGGUGGAAAGAUUUAUCGGUGCAGGAUGGGCCCGCGGCCUAUCAGCUUGUUGGUGGGGUAAUGGCCUACCGAGGCGACGACGGGUAGCCGACCUGAGAGGGUGACCGGCCACACUGGGACUGAGACACGGCCCAGACUCCUACGGGAGGCAGCAGUGGGGAAUAUUGCACAAUGGGCGAAAGCCUGAUGCAGCGACGCCGACGGUGAGGAUGACGGCCUUCGGGUUGUAAACCUCGUUUUCAGCUAGGGACGAACGCGGACAAGGUGACGGUACCUGCCAAGAAGUAAGCAACCGGCUAAACGUACGUGACCCAGGUACG